UACGUAGGUGGCGAGCGUUAAUCGGAAUUAUUGGGCGUAAAGGGCGCGUAGGCGGCUUGGCAAGUGGAUGGUGAAAUCCCUCGGCUUAACCGAGGAACUGCCGUCCAAACUGCUUCGCUUGAGACCGGGAGAGGUGAGUGGAAUUCCCAGUGUAGCGGUGAAAUGCGUAGAUAUUGGGAGGAACACCAGUGGCGAAGGCGGCUCACUGGACCGGUACUGACGCUGAUGCGCGAAAGCGUGGGUAGCGAACGGG
Molecule: ribosomal RNA, 253 nt
Filed under: uncultured bacterium
Lineage: Bacteria
Description: partial 16S ribosomal RNA
Rfam family: Bacterial small subunit ribosomal RNA
Source: RNAcentral